AUCAAACUAUGACGAGUCCCGAAUAGGACGAAACGCGCGUUCUGGAU
Molecule: non-coding RNA, 47 nt
Filed under: Schistosoma curassoni
Lineage: Eukaryota; Metazoa; Platyhelminthes; Trematoda; Strigeidida; Schistosomatidae
Source: RNAcentral